RNAcentral lists this long non-coding RNA (1267 nucleotides) under Citrus x clementina. Its description in RNAcentral is "Citrus clementina (C. clementina) long non-coding RNA (CCLE_LNC006189)". Lineage: Eukaryota; Viridiplantae; Streptophyta; Magnoliopsida; Sapindales; Rutaceae. The record is from RNAcentral.
UGGCCAACCCCCCCCCCCAAGGCUAUAGCCCACCCAUUUUUGUGGCCUUUUUCCGCUGGACGUACUUGGCGCCCCGGCCUUCGGGCGGUUAAUUUUGGGCACGGCUUUGCCUGCGGCCUAUUUUUGGCACACGGAGGUCCCUCGCAAAGGCUCGCGGCAUUCCGAGUCCGGCGGACGAAGUAGGCCAGCCCCCCCCCCGAAGGCUAUAGCCCACCCAUUUUUGUGGCCUUUUUCCGCUGGACGUCCUUGGCGCCCCGGCCUUCGGGCGGUUAUUUUUGGACGCGCCUUGGUCCGCGGCCUAGUUUUGGCACACGGAGGCCCCUCGCAAAGUCUCGCGGCAUUCCGAGUCCGGCGGACGAAGUUGGCCAGCCCCACCCCCCAAGGCUAUAGCCCACCCGUUUUUGUGGCCUUUUUCCGCAUGACGAACUUGGCGCCCCGGCCUUCGGGCGGUUAAUUUUGGGCGUGGCUUUGCCCGCGGCCUAUUUUCAGCACACGGAGGCCCCUCGCAAAGGCUCGCGGCAUUCGGAGUGCGGCGGACGAAGUUGGCCAGCCCCAUCCCCCAAGGCUAUAGCCCACCCGUUUUUGUGGCCUUUUUCCGCUGGACGAACUUGGCGCCCCGGCCUUCGGGCAGUUAUUUUUGGGCGCGGCUUUGCCCGCGGCCUAUUUUCAGCACACGGAGGCCCCUCACAAAGUCUCGCGGCAUUCCGAGUCCGGCGGACGAAGUUAGCCAGCCCCACCCCCCAAGGCUAUAGCCCACCCGUUUUUGUAGCCUUUUUCCGCUGGACGAACUUGGCGCCCCGGAACUUGCUGCUGCUACCUAUCUAUAAAAUGCACUACAAAAUUUUAUCACUAGAUAACAUAAAAUUUUGAACCACGAACCUUUUAAACAUCCCACGGCCUUUUUUUGGUGCACGGAGGACCCUCGCAAAGUCUCGCCGCAUUCCGAGUCCGGCGGGCGAAGUUGGCCAGCAUCACCCCCCACGGCAAUAGCCCACCCGUUUUGUGGCCUUUUUCCGCGGGACGAACUUGGCGUGCCGGCCUUCGGGCGGUUAAUUUUGGGCGCGGCUUUGCCCGCGGCCUAUUUUUGGCACACGGAGGCCCCUCGCAAAGUCUUGCGGCAUUCCGAGUCCGGCGGACGAAGUCGGCCAGCCCCACCCCCCAAGGCUAUAGCCCACCCGUUUUUGUGGCCUUUUUCCGCUGGACGAACUUGGCGCCCCGGCCUUCGGGCGGUUAUUUUUGGGCGCGGCUUUGCCCCCGGCCUAUUUUU